RNAcentral lists this unclassified non-coding RNA (339 nucleotides) under soil metagenome. RNAcentral describes it as "partial contains 5.8S ribosomal RNA, internal transcribed spacer 2, and large subunit ribosomal RNA". The stretch from base 1 to 120 matches the Rfam family "5.8S ribosomal RNA", at positions 35 to 154 of the family's 154-position model. The record is from RNAcentral.
GAUGAAGAACGUAGCGAAAUGCGAUACGUAGUGUGAAUUGCAGAAUUCAGUGAAUCAUCGAAUCUUUGAACGCACAUUGCACCUCUCGGUAUUCCGGGAGGUAUGCCUGUUCGAGCGUCAUUUGUACCCUCAAGCUCUGCUUGGUGUUGGGUGUUUGUUCCGCCUCUGUGUGUGAACUCGCCUCAAAACAAUUGGCAGCCGGCGUACUUGUUUCGGAGCGCAGCACAUUUUGCGAUCCAGAUCAACGUACAGCGGCAUCCAAGAAGCCUUAUUUAACGCUCCUGACCUCGGAUCAGGUAGGGAUACCCGCUGAACUUAAGCAUAUCAAUAAGCGGAGGA